This 448-nucleotide ribosomal RNA is filed under the name uncultured bacterium. Its description in RNAcentral is "bacterial SSU rRNA". It matches the Rfam family "Bacterial small subunit ribosomal RNA", at positions 355 to 796 of the family's 1533-position model. The record is from RNAcentral.
UGGGGAAUUUUGCACAAUGGGCGAAAGCCUGAUGCAGCAACGCCGCGUGUGUGAUGAAGGUCUUCGGAUCGUAAAGCACUUUCGACCGGGACGAACAACCUCUGGCUAACAGUCAGGGGCCUGACGGUACCGGGAGAAGAAGCACCGGCUAACUCUGUGCCAGCAGCCGCGGUAAUACAGAGGGUGCAAGCGUUGUUCGGAAUUAUUGGGCGUAAAGCGCGUGUAGGCGGCAUAGCAAGUCGGGUGUGAAAGCCCUCAGCUCAACUGAGGAAGUGCGCCCGAAACUGCUGUGCUUGAGUGCCGGAGAGGAUGGCGGAAUUCCCCAAGUAGAGGUGAAAUUCGUAGAUAUGGGGAGGAACACCGGUGGCGAAGGCGGCCAUCUGGACGGUAACUGACGCUGAGACGCGAAAGCGUGGGGAGCAAACAGGAUUAGAUACCCCCGUAGUCC